This is a long non-coding RNA of Tupaia belangeri chinensis (Chinese tree shrew), 1177 nucleotides long. RefSeq lists it as uncharacterized. The transcript has 4 exons. NCBI's taxonomy places the organism in Eukaryota, Metazoa, Chordata, Mammalia, Scandentia, Tupaiidae. The record is from RefSeq and is a predicted model, not a curated record.
GGGCGGGGGAGAGGAAGGAAGGAAGGGGGAAGGAGAUGCCUGAAAAGACGGUCCUAGACGGCGACCCGGAAACCAGAAAGCUGAGGGGAGGGAUGGGGACUUCAGGGCAGAGCAAGACCGCACGGUAUUACCAUUUCCUUCAUUUUCGUUGCAUGGCAUAAAUCAGUAUGUUACUAUAAUGGCUAAAGGGAAAAGCAGAUUUUGGAACUGAGGAAACGAAAGGGAUAAAGAGACGUGGUUAGGUCAGAGAAUUUGGGUAGUAGUAGUUGCGAAGUCAGAUUCCUACGACUAACUCAUAUAGUUUGUUAUCUUCACGAGCUGACUCUCAUGCACGUAUUUUCCUGUACAAAUGAUGAGGUGUGAAAAGGAGGGAAGCCACAGGCAGCAAUUACCUACACACUUUCCCUGGGUGCGCGGGACCGAAGUGCUCCUGUGGUUGGACAGGGCACCCCAAGAAGUCAGAUGUCCGGAAUGUCUCAGUGUGUCAGUUAUAUAAUUAAAUAUAGUUUCCAAAGUUGGCAGUGAACUCAAAUCUCACCCUUCAUGCAGGCAAGGUUUAAUAUUUUAUAUUAAAUGCAAGCUAUUAUAUACAUUCAUACAGUGGAGGAAUCAUCCCGUUGUUUGAAAUUAUAGUAAUUGGUAAUUUGGCCUUUUGGAGUCAUACAUUGUUCUUUUAAAUUCUACCAGGAGGGAUCUUACAUGAAUACCCUUGAAUAUUGGUCUUCGAGAUGACCAUUUUCUCUACUGAGGAUGACCAAAUGAAAAUACCAGUAUAUUGAAGCUGACAGGGAAUGUACUAGAAAGCCAGAAAAAAAGGAAAGGACCCCUAAAAGAGGUGGCAAGACAUUUCCUUUAAUUGCUACACAUAUAACCUGUGGAUAAUUCCAUUACCUAGUCCAAUUCUAGGCAUCCUCAACACACUACUUUGAACAGAUCUCCAUCUUCUAAACAGUACUGGAUUAGAUCAGCUCACAUCUUUGGAAAUCAAUUCCUCAGCUAUUUUAUGAGUCAAAAACUGAGAACAAGUAAAAAAUCAAAACAGAACACUGGAAAGAGGCACUACAUGGAUACUCCAAGAAUUGGUGUUAGGAAUGGUCUUAUGUAAGAGUUAACAAAGAGUGGACUGCAAUUCAAGUACUGAACCUGGCAGCUUAAAACUCAAUCUGGACAUGUAUAC